Molecule: ribosomal RNA, 253 nt
Filed under: uncultured bacterium
Lineage: Bacteria
Description: partial 16S ribosomal RNA
Rfam family: Bacterial small subunit ribosomal RNA
Source: RNAcentral
UACGAAGGGGGCUAGCGUUGCUCGGAAUCACUGGGCGUAAAGCGCACGUAGGCGGAUCUUUAAGUCAGGGGUGAAAUCCUGGAGCUCAACUCCAGAACUGCCUUUGAUACUGGGGAUCUCGAGUCCGGAAGAGGUGAGUGGAACUCCGAGUGUAGAGGUGAAAUUCGUAGAUAUUCGGAAGAACACCAGUGGCGAAGGCGGCUCACUGGCCCGGUACUGACGCUGAGGAGCGAAAGCGUGGGGAGCAAACAGG